RNAcentral lists this ribosomal RNA (484 nucleotides) under uncultured bacterium. RNAcentral's name for it is "partial 16S ribosomal RNA". It matches the Rfam family "Bacterial small subunit ribosomal RNA", at positions 30 to 507 of the family's 1533-position model. The record is from RNAcentral.
AUUGAACGCUGGCGGCAGGCCUAACACAUGCAAGUCGAGCGGAUGAAGGGAGCUUGCUCCUGGAUUCAGCGGCGGACGGGUGAGUAAUGCCUAGGAAUCUGCCUGGUAGUGGGGGAUAACGUCCGGAAACGGGCGCUAAUACCGCAUACGUCCUGAGGGAGAAAGUGGGGGAUCUUCGGACCUCACGCUAUCAGAUGAGCCUAGGUCGGAUUAGCUAGUUGGUGGGGUAAAGGCCUACCAAGGCGACGAUCCGUAACUGGUCUGAGAGGAUGAUCAGUCACACUGGAACUGAGACACGGUCCAGACUCCUACGGGAGGCAGCAGUGGGGAAUAUUGGACAAUGGGCGAAAGCCUGAUCCAGCCAUGGCGCGUGUGUGAAGAAGGUCUUCGGAUUGUAAAGCACUUUAAGUUGGGAGGAAGGGCAGUAAGUUAAUACCUUGCUGUAUUGACGUUACCAACAGAAUAAGCACCGGCUAACUUCGUG